This 468-nucleotide ribosomal RNA is filed under the name Enterococcus durans. Its description in RNAcentral is "bacterial SSU rRNA". It matches the Rfam family "Bacterial small subunit ribosomal RNA", at positions 50 to 489 of the family's 1533-position model. The record is from RNAcentral. Lineage: Bacteria; Bacillati; Bacillota; Bacilli; Lactobacillales; Enterococcaceae.
AAUACAUGCAAGUCGUACGCUUCUUUUUCCACCGGAGCUUGCUCCACCGGAAAAAGAAGAGUGGCGAACGGGUGAGUAACACGUGGGUAACCUGCCCAUCAGAAGGGGAUAACACUUGGAAACAGGUGCUAAUACCGUAUAACAAUCGAAACCGCAUGGUUUUGAUUUGAAAGGCGCUUUCGGGUGUCGCUGAUGGAUGGACCCGCGGUGCAUUAGCUAGUUGGUGAGGUAACGGCUCACCAAGGCCACGAUGCAUAGCCGACCUGAGAGGGUGAUCGGCCACAUUGGGACUGAGACACGGCCCAAACUCCUACGGGAGGNAGCAGUAGGGAAUCUUCGGCAAUGGACGAAAGUCUGACCGAGCAACGCCGCGUGAGUGAAGAAGGUUUUCGGAUCGUAAAACUCUGUUGUUAGAGAAGAACAAGGAUGAGAGUAACUGUUCAUCCCUUGACGGUAUCUAACCAGAAA